CCUACGGGAGGCAGCAGUAGGGAAUAUUGCUCAAUGGGCGAAACCCUGAAGCAGCAACGCCGCGUGCAGGAUGAAGGUUUUCGGAUUGUAAACCCCUUUUGUUAGAGCAGAAAAUGACGGUAUGUGACGAAUAAGCACAGGCUACUCCGAGCCAGCAGCCGCGGUAAUACGGAGGGUGCACGCGUUAAUCGGAAUCACUGGGCGUAAAGAGGGCGUAGGCGGGAUAUCAAGUCAGAUGUGAAAUUCUGUGGCUUAACCAUAGAACUGCAUUUUAAACUGUUAUUCUUGAGUGUGGGAGAGGUAUGUGGAAUUCGUGGUGUAGCGGUAAAAUGCGUAGAGAUCAAGAAGAACACUCAUUGCGAAGGCGACCUGCUGGAACGUAACUGACGCUGAUGCUCGAAAGCGUGGGGAGCAAACAGGAUUAGAUACCCGGGUAGUC
RNAcentral lists this ribosomal RNA (439 nucleotides) under uncultured bacterium. Its description in RNAcentral is "partial 16S ribosomal RNA". It matches the Rfam family "Bacterial small subunit ribosomal RNA", at positions 338 to 795 of the family's 1533-position model. The record is from RNAcentral.